UACGGAGGGUGCAAGCGUUAUCCGGAUUCACUGGGUUUAAAGGGUGCGUAGGUGGGAUGGUAAGUCAGUGGUGAAAUCUCCGAGCUUAACUCGGAAACUGCCUUUGAUACUAUCAUUCUUGAAUAUUGUGGAGGUUAGCGGAAUAUGUCAUGUAGCGGUGAAAUGCUUAGAUAUGACAUAGAACACCAAUUGCGAAGGCAGCUGGCUACGCAUAUAUUGACACUGAGGCACGAAAGCGUGGGGAUCAAACAGG
RNAcentral lists this ribosomal RNA (253 nucleotides) under uncultured bacterium. RNAcentral's name for it is "partial 16S ribosomal RNA". It matches the Rfam family "Bacterial small subunit ribosomal RNA", at positions 524 to 776 of the family's 1533-position model. The record is from RNAcentral.